GAUGAAGAACGUAGCGAAAUGCGAUAAGUAAUGUGAAUUGCAGAAUUCAGUGAAUCAUCGAAUCUUUGAACGCACAUUGCGCCCUCUGGUAUUCCGGGGGGCAUGCCUGUUCGAGCGUCAUUACAACCCUCAAGCUUUGCUUGGUAUUGGACAUUGCCAGUUUCUGGCAGGUCUUAAAAUCAGUGGCGGUGCCAUUUGGCUUCAAGCGUAGUAAUUCUUCUUGCUUUGGAGAUCCAGGUGGUUACUUGCCAAUAACCCCCAAUUUUUUCAGGUUGACCUCGGAUCAGGUAGGGAUACCCGCUGAACUUAAGCAUAUCAAUAAGCGGAGGA
This 330-nucleotide unclassified non-coding RNA is filed under the name soil metagenome. Its description in RNAcentral is "partial contains 5.8S ribosomal RNA, internal transcribed spacer 2, and large subunit ribosomal RNA". The stretch from base 1 to 120 matches the Rfam family "5.8S ribosomal RNA", at positions 35 to 154 of the family's 154-position model. The record is from RNAcentral.